GCUUACUUGCACUCUUGAACAAACCCAAAUCUUUUUCAUUUGAUAUAUUUCUUGAAAACCCAACUAUACUGUUUGCUUUACUCAACAUGUCUUAUCAUUACACCUUCCUCUUUCCCAUGUCUUUCUUAUUGUAGUCUGUCACUUCUCUAUUAUCUUCUUCUUCCACUUUCCUCCCUCCUCAUUUCUCAGCAAACUUCAUCUUCCACCUUCCUCCCUCCUCCUUCCUCUAAUAUAUCUUCACCUUUCUUCUUCUUCUCCUUGAUUACCACUACGACUUCUUCUUUUUUCUUAACUACAUCCAUUAAAGUUUUGAUUUUUAUGUUAAAAACCCAAAAAUUUCGUUAAAGUUUUUUUCUAAUUUCUUCUAAUUUAGUGUUUGUUGUUUCAGGUUUGGAUUUGUUGUUUCAUCUACCCUUGCUUCAUCUUUCUAUACUUGCUUCAUCAUUCAAGAUGAUAAAGACAUCAAUGGCAGUAUAUGUUUUUUUCCUCUUCCUCUUAAUGUAUCAGUUUUGUUUAACUAUAAUAUUGUUGUUCAAUGUUUUUUCAGCCAUUUCAUUUUUUAUUUAUUCAACAUCACUAAUAUCAUUUUUAUAGUUUUCGUUUCAGAUAAGUUCUUCUUCUUCAGAUCUGGAAUUUUUUUGUUGAUACUGAGUGAUGAUGAAGAGAUGUUGCUCUCUUUUCUAAUUCGUAUAAAUUUAAAUCUGGGUUUUUGUUUUAUUUGUAGCUUUCCUCUCAUGCCUAUUUUCGUGUAAACAUGUAAUGGUGUCUUUGUCUUGUGUUUUCCCGGUAAUGAAGCUGAUGAAAACCUUAAAUAUUUUUCAUUUUUUGAUAAUGAUGUUAUUGUUGUUCUGUGUUGUAGAUCUGUUACGGUUAUGUUGCUGUUAUGUAUUCCCAAAUUUUCCUAAAAUAAAAUGUUGUUGGUUGUUGAAAGCAAUCCAGGUGAUUUUGUAGGCACUGCAGUAUCUGGUACACCUUUUGGCAAGGCUUGUGCUGCUGUUGGACAAAGCAGUCUUAUGUCUACUUAUGAUGAUUUGUUUAGUCAGAAAUUGUGGCUUGCUGGUUUUUCAAGGGGCAUACAGGAAGUGCACCGAAGAGCAUCUUUAGUUCUUAGAGAUGCAGUUAGAAAUAUUUACAGUAUAUAAUGUUUGUUAGAAAUAUUUGUGGAAAUGCUUAUGCCAAGAAACAUCGUACCUCCAUCUUCCCGCUCAGCGUUAAACUAUGUCGCUCUCCGCUUCGACAACUUUAAUUUGGAUGCUAAUGUAAGAUUGUGCUUUAUUUUGUUUUUACUAUAGACCAUUUUGUGUUUCUAUAGAAA
Long non-coding RNA from Vicia villosa (hairy vetch), 1315 nucleotides. RefSeq lists it as uncharacterized. Lineage: Eukaryota; Viridiplantae; Streptophyta; Magnoliopsida; Fabales; Fabaceae. The transcript is spliced from 2 exons. The record is from RefSeq and is a predicted model, not a curated record.